UACGUAGGGGGCAAGCGUUGUCCGGAUUUAUUGGGCGUAAAGGGUGCGUAGGCGGCGCGGUAAGUCGGGUGUGAAAUCUCGGAGCUUAACUCCGAAACUGCAUUCGAUACUGCCAUGCUUGAGGACUGGAGAGGAGACUGGAAUUUACGGUGUAGCGGUGAAAUGCGUAGAUAUCGUAAGGAAGACCAGUGGCGAAGGCGGGUCUCUGGACAGUUCCUGACGCUGAGGCACGAAGGCCAGGGGAGCAAACGGG
This 253-nucleotide ribosomal RNA is filed under the name uncultured bacterium. RNAcentral's name for it is "partial 16S ribosomal RNA". It matches the Rfam family "Bacterial small subunit ribosomal RNA", at positions 524 to 776 of the family's 1533-position model. The record is from RNAcentral.